AACUUUAUAGUUUAUAAAAAAAUAUUAAAUUGCAAGUUUAAAGAUAAAUUUAUUUUUAAAGUUU
RNAcentral lists this transfer RNA (64 nucleotides) under Onthophagus haematopus. Its description in RNAcentral is "tRNA-Cys". The record is from RNAcentral. Lineage: Eukaryota; Metazoa; Arthropoda; Insecta; Coleoptera; Scarabaeidae.